UAUAUAUAUAUAUAUAUAUAUAUAUAGGAAAAACUUUAAAUAUUUUCUGUGGUUUCACACUUUCUCACUUUAGUAUCCUAUGAUUUAAGGUGCAUCAAAUUAGUACACUGUGGUUAAUUCGCACUUCCUCACUUUAGUAUCUUUGUGGUUUUAUUUUUGUAUCAAGUUAGUAUCCUAUCGUUUUAAUUUUUUCAUUUUAUUAUUCAUUUCGGAGUAUAUAAUUUAAUGAAAUAUAUUAAACCAUAGGGUACUAAAGUAAGAAAGUGCGAAACCACAGGGUAUUAACUUGAUACACUUAAAAUCAUAGGGUACUAAAGUGAGAAAGUGCGAAACUAUAGAAUACUAACUUGAUACACUUUAAACUAUGGGAUACUGAAGUAAGAAAGUGUUAAAGCACCGGAGGUAUUGAAAUUUUUCCAAAAAAAUAAGAAAAAACUUUAAAAACCCCCCUCUAUGGUUUCAUAGUUUCUCACUUUGCCCCCCUAUGGUUUAAAAUAUAUCAAAUUAUCCCCCUAUGGUUUCGUUUUUAUCUUUUCAGUAGCUUUUUCGUUAAUAUUUUAUUAAAUUAUAUAUAAAAAAUUUUAAAUACCCAUCUAGAUUUAUCAAAUAUUCACUUUAAUACCCUUUAAUUUUAACUUUAUCACUGAUUUAAGAAAAAAAUAAUAAUAAAAUUGAUAAGAAAAAGAAAAAAACAAAUUAUAGGAGGGCAAAUUGAUACAUUUUAAAUUACAUGGGGGGAAAGUGAGAAAAUAUGAAACCACAGGGGGGUUUUUGAAGUUUUCCCAAAUAGUAUUAAGUUGGAU
RNAcentral lists this long non-coding RNA (803 nucleotides) under Ananas comosus (pineapple). Its description in RNAcentral is "long non-coding RNA (ACOM_LNC015752)". The record is from RNAcentral. Lineage: Eukaryota; Viridiplantae; Streptophyta; Magnoliopsida; Poales; Bromeliaceae.